GCUGAGUAGCUCAGUUGGUAGAGCACAUCAUUCGUAAUGAUGGGGUCAGGUGUUCGAGUCACCUAAGCGGCACCA
Molecule: transfer RNA, 75 nt
Filed under: Hyphomicrobiales bacterium
Lineage: Bacteria; Pseudomonadati; Pseudomonadota; Alphaproteobacteria; Hyphomicrobiales
Description: Rhizobiales bacterium tRNA-Thr
Rfam family: tRNA
About the family: Transfer RNA (tRNA) molecules are approximately 80 nucleotides in length. Their secondary structure includes four short double-helical elements and three loops (D, anti-codon, and T loops).
Source: RNAcentral